AAAUGUAUAUUUACUUCUAUUUCGUAAUUACAUUUAAUUUACAUAUUUAAAUUAUAAUAAUGUGAUUUAAUGUAAUAAGAUAAUAAUAGUAAUGAUGUCACGUGGCUUCUUUUCGAAUAAUGGUUCUAUGCUGAUGUUGUCAAUAUUGUAUAUUUUCUUAUAUUGUAUAUUUUCAUAUUCGAAUUUUCGAAUUUAUUUAUUUAAUUUUUUAUAUGAAAUGUUAAUAUUACAUUAUAGGCAGUUACAAAAAAAAAAAUAAUAACACGUGUCAUUUUUCGGGAGAAGUUUUUUUGCUGAUGUGGACACCUUAUGGAGUCUCAAAAAAUCUCUUUUGUUAGUAUAGAUUGUAGAUUACUUUUUUAAUGUAGUAUUUUCAUUUUUUAAAUUGUGUACUUACUUAUUAUUAUUUUUCAUAUAUUAUAUAUUUAAAUAUAUAUUUACUCAUAUUUAAUUUUUACAUUUUAAGAUAAAUGUUUAAUGUAGUAUUUUCAUUUUUUAAAUUGUGUACUUACUUAUUAUUAUUUUUUCGUAUAUUAUAUAUUUACAAAUUUAAAUUUACAUUUACUUAUAUUUCGUAUAUUAUAUAUUUAUAUAUUUAAAUGUAUAUUUACUUAUAUUUCGUAUAUUGUAUAUUUAUAUAUUUAAAUGGUAAUAAUGUGAUUUAAUGUAAUAAGGUAAUAAUAGUAGUAAUGAUGCCACGUGGCUUCUUUUCGAAUAAUGAUUUUAUGCUGAUGUGGACGCUCUAUGUUUAUUAUAUAUUUAAUUUUUACAUUUUAAGAUAAAUGUUUAAUGUACUAUUUUCAUUUUUUAAAUUGUGUACUUACUUAUUAUUAUUUUUCAUAUAUUAUAUAUUUAAAUAUAUAUGUACUCAUAUUUAAUUUUUACAUUUUAAGAUAAAUGUUUAAUGUAGUAUUUUCAUUUUUUUAAAUUGUGUACUUACUUAUUAUUAUUUUUCGUAUAUUAUAUAUUUACAAAUUUAAAUUUACAUUUACUUAUAUUUUGUAUAUUAUAUAUUUAUAUAUUUAAAUGUAUAUUUACUUAUAUUUCAUAUAUUGUAUAUUUAUAUAUUUAAAUGGUAAUAAUGUGAUUUAAUGUAAUAAGGUAAUAAUAGUAGUAAUGAUGCCACGUGGCUUCUUUUCGAAUAAUGAUUUUAUGAUGAUGUGGACGCUCUAUGUUUAUUAUAUAUUUAAUUUUUACAUUUUAAGAUAAAUUUUUAAUGUACUAUUUCCAUUUUUUAAAUUGUGUACUUACUUAUUAUUAUUUUUUCGUAUAUUAUAUAUUUACAAAUUUAAAUUUACAUUUACUUAUAUUUCGUAUAUUAUAUAUUUAUAUAUUUAAAUGUAUAUUUACUUAUAUUUCGUAUAUUGUAUAUUUAUAUAUUUAAAUGGUAAUAAUGUGAUUUAAUGUAAUAAGGUAAUAAUAGUAGUAAUGAUGCCAAGUGGCUUCUUUUCGAAUAAUGAUUUUAUGCUGAUGUGGACGCUCUAUGGAGCUUCAAAAGGUUCUUUUUAUUAGUAUAGUAUAUUUAAAUGGUAAUAAUGUGAUUUAAUGUAAUAAGGUAAUAAUAGUAGUAGUGAUGCCACGUGGUUUCUUUUCGAAUAAUGAUUUUAUGCUGAUGUGAACGCUCUAUGGAGCCUCAAAAGGUUUCUUUUAUUAGUAUAGAUUACCCAAAGAAACUACUCCCUCAGACACAACUCAUUGGACACGCAACUCAUUAUACUCUUGAGAGCCUCAUCAUGUUUAUAAGUGAGAAGCCCAAUAUUAUAAUGGGCCUCGUCUCUUUGUAAAAAAAAAAAAAGAUGUUAUUGUGCAAUAUCAAAGAUAAAUAAAGAUGGGUACAAGUUGGAAGUAGUAGAUAAAUACAAGGACCAUUUCCAUAAUUGUACGAAACAUUUCGUAUCACUUUUUCUGGUCUCGUUUAUGAAGGAAGGCAUCGGACCAAAGCAAAAGCAAAAACAUGUAAUCUGUAAGUUGAUGCGAUUUUUCGAACUAUGGCAUCUGCGAUGGCAACAUGGACGCCAAGCUCUCUCCAGCUCAGGAUUGCCCUCAACUGUCGGAGCUUCAAAGCUGCUCCGGCGAGAGCGAAGUUGACGAAGCUCAGGAUUAUCCAGUGGAUUCCAUGAAACUUCUGUUGGUCUGUGAGUUUCAUAUUCCUCCGACGACCGACGACCGGUACCUUAUUUUAAGAGGCUCAGGAGAUUGUUUUGUUAUCAUAUACCGGUACACAAACAUUGGUAUUUGUGAAACCGAGCCGUGUUACUGGUAACAUAAUCAAUCAUGUACUUGCACAAAUUAUCAAAGUAAAAUUGAAAAAAAUAAACUUAUUCGUGA
Long non-coding RNA from Brassica napus (rape), 2328 nucleotides. RefSeq lists it as uncharacterized. The transcript is spliced from 2 exons. NCBI's taxonomy places the organism in Eukaryota, Viridiplantae, Streptophyta, Magnoliopsida, Brassicales, Brassicaceae. The record is from RefSeq and is a predicted model, not a curated record.